RNAcentral lists this unclassified non-coding RNA (23 nucleotides) under Mus musculus (house mouse). RNAcentral describes it as "oocyte_clustered_small_RNA12373". The record is from RNAcentral. Lineage: Eukaryota; Metazoa; Chordata; Mammalia; Rodentia; Muridae.
CUUCUCUCCCUCUGUUUCUUGCU